GUUACUACACUCAGGUUACUACACUCAGAUUACUACACUCAGGUUACUACACUCGGAUUACUACACUCGGAUUACUACACUCAGAUUACUACACUCAGAUUACUACACUCAGGUUACUACACUCAGGUUACUACACUCAGGUUACUACACUCAGAUUACUACACUCAGGUUACUACACUCAGAUUACUACACUCAGAUUACUACACUCGGGUUACUACACUCAGAUUACUACACUCGGGUUACUACACUCGGGUUACUACACUCGGGUUAGUACACUCGGGUUACUACACUCGGGUUACUACACUCGGGUUACUACACUCGGGUUAGUACACUCGGGUUACUACACUCGGGUUACUACACUCGGGUUAGUACACUCGGGUUAGUACACUCGGGUUAGUACACUCGGGUUACUACACUCGGAUUACUACACUCAGAUUACUAC
Ictalurus punctatus (channel catfish) is the source of this 442-nucleotide long non-coding RNA. The record is from Ensembl. Lineage: Eukaryota; Metazoa; Chordata; Actinopteri; Siluriformes; Ictaluridae.